RNAcentral lists this long non-coding RNA (1289 nucleotides) under Oreochromis niloticus (Nile tilapia). RNAcentral describes it as "lncRNA (ENSONIG00000031975.1)". Lineage: Eukaryota; Metazoa; Chordata; Actinopteri; Cichliformes; Cichlidae. The record is from RNAcentral.
UGUUGAAGGAAUUGUUCUGAAUUGGUUCCAUAUAAACUGAAUUGAAUUAAAAGUUAUUCAUAGAAACACUAAAGUUAUGUGUAAAGUGUUUACUGGGGUCCCCAUACACUUCACAGGAGUCGCCCCCUGUUGGCUGAUAUAAAUAAUGCUGUCUUAAACCACAUGGGCUUCUUGAAGCUAUGCCCAUCUUUUAUAUACAGUCUCUGAUUUGGGUCCAUGAUUAUUUAAGGCGCUGGUUUUAUCGAGUAUCUGUUUCCAAUCAACGACAACAUAAAAACGUCCCCAUUUAAAUGUUAACAUUGAAACAUGUUCAUAGACUAUAAAGAGCAUCUGUUACCUGCUACCCACAAAAAAGUUUGUGUUUGUGGUUGUAAAGCUGCGUGGUUACAAGCAGCAGGAAGAACAGGCGUGUUCACAGAGGCCGAGUUCCUGUUCUCAGAUCACACAGGAACUAUUCAGACACUUCCCACUGUGUCAGGAUGAAGGUGAAGAUCUUCUGCUGCCUGUUAGCCUGCACUCUGGGCUCUAAUGUCACUGCUGGUUUAACCCAUGAAGUAUUUAAGGAGGGGACACAGGUCAGUCUGCGCUGUCCUCACUCUGUGGAGGGUAAAGUGAGGUGGAGCAGAGAGAGUGGAGGAAACAGAACUGACAUACUUACAGCUGAUGGAGACGGAAAUAUAAAACACAUCAAUGAUCCACAGAAACGAUACAGUUCACUGGCUGAUCGAUCUCUGAUCAUCGUCAGAGCUUCUGUCUCAGACUCUGGCAGAUACUUCUGUAACCAUGAAGCAGCUGUGGAGCUGACAGUGAUCCCAUCAGGAACUAAAAUAGUGAGUGUUGCAGAGAGGAGCAGCAUCACUCUGAACUGUUCUCAUCAUGUUGGAGGAUCAGCUGUUCCCACAUGGAGCAGAGACUCUGGAGAAAUAAAUGAAGGAAGGAUUUCUGUUUCCACUGAGGACAAAACAUUAAGUAUAAGAGAAGCUGAGCCUGCUGACUCUGGACUGUACAACUGUGAUGGAAAACCAGCUGUUUAUCUGAAUGUGACCAAAGGACAGAGAUCUGACAGAGAAAAUAAGACAACAACAACAACACCAACAACAACAACAACAACACCAACUACUGCUACAACUCAUAAAGCAUCAGUAACACCUGCAUCACCCACUGAGGCUCCAUCAGCUUUUCCAGUGCAGAGUUUCCUGAUUGGAACUGGUCUUCUUCUUCUCUCCACCCUCAUCCUCAUCACUGUCUACUUCAUUUGGAGAUGCAGGUCCAACAGACGAGGUGAGUAA